This 253-nucleotide ribosomal RNA is filed under the name uncultured bacterium. Its description in RNAcentral is "partial 16S ribosomal RNA". It matches the Rfam family "Bacterial small subunit ribosomal RNA", at positions 524 to 776 of the family's 1533-position model. The record is from RNAcentral.
UACAGAGGAGCCAAGCGUUGUCCGGAUUUACUGGGCGUAAAGCGCACGCAGGCGGUCGCGCGCGUGGGGUGUGAAAUCUGGCCGCUUAACGGCCAGGCGCCAUCCCAUACGGCGCGACUGGAGGCUUGCAGAGGUCGGUGGAAUUCCCGGUGUAGCGGUGAAAUGCGUAGAGAUCGGGAGGAACACCAGAGGCGAAGGCGGCGACCUGGACAGGAACUGACACUCAACUACGAAAGCGUGGGUAGCAAACAGG